This 422-nucleotide ribosomal RNA is filed under the name uncultured bacterium. Its description in RNAcentral is "partial 16S ribosomal RNA". It matches the Rfam family "Bacterial small subunit ribosomal RNA", at positions 360 to 774 of the family's 1533-position model. The record is from RNAcentral.
AACUUUGGACAAUGGGGGAAACCCUGAUCCAGUCAUCCAGCGUGUAUGCUGAAGGCCUUCGGGUUGUCAAGUACUUUUGGCAGAGAAGAAAAGGUAUCUCCUAAUACGAGAUACUGCUGACGGUAUCUGAAGAUUACGCAACGGAUCACUAUGUUCCAGCAGCCGCGGUAAUACGUAGGGUGCAAGCGUUAAUCGGAAUUACUGGGCUUAAAGCGUUGGUAGGCGGUUCGGAAAGAAAGAUGUUAAAUCCCAGGGCUCAACCUUGGAACUGCAUUUUUAACUGCCGAGCUAGAGUAUGUCAGAGGGGGGUAGAAUUCCACGUGUAGCAGUGAAAUGCGUAGAUAUGUGGAGGAAUACCGAUGGCGAAGGCAGCCCCCUGGGAUAAUACUGACGCUCAGACACGAAAGCGUGGGGAGCAAACA